AAAAAAAGGUCCAAUAGUUUGUGGACAGAUUAAUUGAUAAAAAUCCAGGCCCAUUUGUGAACAAGAAACGGAUCCUUUUUUUUUUUCAAAUUUAAUUGGAAAUUUUGUUUUUUAAGGAUUGAAAACUUAUUAUUAGAUGGGCUUGGGCUGGCUUUUUGUAUGUUUUCUCCAAAGAAAAAUAUUUUAGGGGCUAAAAUUAGAAAAUAUUAAGGUAGAGGGGUAGGUUUUGACAUAGUUCACAAAAUAAGGGGUCUAAAGGGAAUAUUCAGAACAAGCAAGGCUUUUUUAACCUUUAAAUACCUCAUAAUCCACGCUAAGGAACAUUGCGUCAUCAUAGUUUUCUUCGUAACCACGAUUACAAUCUGUUGUUUCAUAGAACCCUAGCCCUAAUUACCAAAUUCAAACCCUUUCGAAGAUUUCAAUCAAAUCUCUAUUACGUUUUCCUCAUCCAAUGGGUAGCGAAUCCAUUGAGCCCACGCGCCAGAAGCAUCACCGAUCAUCCUCCCCCGACGAUGCGGAUGAGCGCUCGAAACGCCGGAAGCAUCGAGACAGCCGCCAGCGUCGCCAUCACCGCCGCCACCGAAGCGAGCGUGAGAAAGAGGAAGCGAGAACGGAAUCUCAGGAAGGAUUGGAAGGUGGAGAAGUUGAUCACGUCGAGGUUGAGGAAAUAAAAUUAGAAAAUAAUGGGAGCGCCGGAGAUAGUUCCGUGGGUGAAGAUGUGGUGUUGAGAGUGGAUUACGACAUGGAAGAAGGGGAGAUUGUGGAGGAUGAUGGUCCAGUUGGUUAUGUUAAUGGGGGUUUUGAGAAGGUGAAGAGGAAUGUUGAGUCUGAUGUUGAGUCGGGGGAAAUUCACAUGAAUGGGUACGAUAAUUCCAAUAUGGGAGUUACUCAAGAGAAUGUGGAAAGGGUUGAUAAAAACUUGAAGAACAUUGGAAAGGACAGCAUGGAAGACAAUGAAAUCGGGGAGGUGGAUAGAGUGAGAGUAUCUCGUUCUGAGGGUCAUGCAGAAGUGACUUGCGAAAAUAAACACCACAAAGAUAAUGGAGUUCCCGUCAAAGAGGGUAAGAGGAGAAGGGGCACUGAUGAUGAAGUUGAGAGAAGAUAUCAAAAGAAAUCUUUGUGUUCUGAGAAAAGACACAAUGCUGUUGCACAUCCAUAUUCAAAUGACAAGUAUAUGAAAGGGGGUCCUGAUAGUAACUUAUUGGAGUCUCCUGAAUCGUCUAAGGUGGGUUCGCGUUCGCAAGAUACUUCCGUUGUGGGUACUGCAAGUACGAUGGGUGACCCAUUCUAUAUUGCUAGGGAACGGAGAAGUGAGUGUGAUGAUGAAAGAAUCGUUGCCCGUGACAUCAGCUACAAACAUAACAGCAGAUAUGAUGAAGGGGAUAAAGAAAAAGAGUGUAGGUCUAGCAGAUUUACUGGGAGAGCGGAUAGAAAUUAUAGCAGGGAUACUAAUGACAGGUAUAGGGAGGAGAGCAGAGACAGGGAUUGGGAUAGGACUAGAAAGAAAGAAAGGGAGGAGAAGGAGAAGAGUGGGGAAAACAGAGGAAGGUCCAGAACUCAAGAUAGAUAUUGGGAGGAAAGGGAGAUUGUGAGAAACAGGGCUAGAGACAGGGACACAGAGAGAGACUGGGAAAGAGAGAGGGAGAGGGGCCGAGAUAAAUUAAGAGAGGAGAGGAACAAGGGCAGGGAUAGAAGUAGUGAAGGAAUUAGAGAUGGCGGUUGGGGUAGGCACAGAUACAAUGAUAGAGAUAAUGAUAGUGACAGGUCAAGCAAGCAUCAAAUAUAUGACAAUGAUGAGGAUGUCUACAGGGAUAAGGGUAAUAGUUCGAGGCAUAGAAGAAACUCUGAAGAUCUCUAUAGAGAGAGAUCAAGGAGAAAUGAUUUAGGAAAUGGAAAAUCUAUACCUAAUCCUGAGGAUAGGGAUAAUGACGAGGUUCUUAAAAGAGAACAAGACAAAGAAGAGGACUUUCAGGAAAAUAUUGUAAUGCAACUUGCAGAAGAGGAAGAAGAUGAUCUUGAGAGAAUUAAGGAGGAAAGCAGGCGGCGCAGGCAAGCUAUCCUCGAAAAGUACGAAAAACAACAUGCAGACCAACAAAAAGGAACUCAGUCACAAGUUACAGUUGAGGAACAAGUUGGCCAGCCUUCUAAACAUGCAGAAUCUGCCGAAGUUAUUCUUGAAAAUAUUCACAUUCGAGUGGAAGCCGUAGAUACACCUGAUGCCGAGUCAUCCUUUUCUGUUGGUAAAUCACCUGCACAAAAUGGUCUUUCUGCUCUUGAGAAGCGUACUGGAACUGGAGGACUUGGAGAUGGUACCCCUAAGAGUGAGGGAUCAGUGGAUAUGUUCUGUGAUGAUAUGUUUGCAGCAUCCCCUGCUGGAGUUCAGAAAACGGGCAAAGGAGAUGGUUUGGCUAUUGAAACAAGUGAACUGCACGACAAUUGGGAUGACGCAGAAGGUUACUAUGGUUACCGUAUUGGAGAAAUUCUAGAUGGUCGUUAUGAAAUAGUUGCUGCUCACGGAAAAGGUGUCUUUUCUACUGUUGUUCGUGCAAAGGAUCUCAAGGCUAAACUUGGUGACCCUGAAGAAGUGGCAAUUAAAAUCAUACGCAAUAAUGAGACAAUGUACAAGGCGGGAAUGGAAGAGUUGGUGAUACUGAAGAAGUUAGUUGGUGCAGACCCUGACAACAGGCGCCAUUGUGUUCGUUUUCUUUCCACAUUCAAGUAUCGGAAUCAUCUUUGUUUAGUUUUUGAAUCUCUUCAUAUGAAUUUACGUGAAAUUCUCAAGAAAUUUGGUCGUAAUAUUGGUCUGAAGCUUACUGCUGUGAGGGCAUAUGCAAAGCAACUCUUGAUAGCACUGAAACAUUUGAAAAACUGUGGGGUUCUUCAUUGUGAUAUCAAGCCAGAUAAUAUUCUGGUGAACGAAGCAAAAAAUGUAUUGAAACUUUGCGACUUUGGCAAUGCCAUGUUUUCUGGUAAAAAUGAAAUAACCCCUUACCUUGUGAGCCGUUUCUAUCGCGCCCCAGAGAUAAUUCUGGGACUCCCUUACGACAACCCCAUGGAUAUGUGGUCGGUGGGUUGCUGCUUGUUUGAGAUCUACACCGGAAAGGUUCUCUUUCCUGGUCCUUCCAAUAAUGACAUGCUUCGCCUUCACAUGGAACUAAAAGGCCCAUUCCCAAAGAAGAUGCUCCGGAAGGGAGGAUUCGUGGAUCAUCAUUUUGACCAGGAUUUGAAUUUCCUUGCAACAGAAGAGGAUCGUGUGACAAGGAAGACAUUAAGGAGACUGUUAGUUAAUAUCAAGCCAAAAGAUUUUGGCACAAUAAUUUUGGGAUCUCCUGGCGAGGACCCAAAAAUGCUAGCUAACUUUAAAGAUCUUAUGGAAAAGAUCUUUGUGCUGGAUCCAGACAAAAGGUUGAACGUAUCACAAGCACUAAGUCAUCCCUUCAUCACGGGCAAGUGAACUUGAUGCUGAUCUCUGACUACAGAACUGCUGUUGCACUAGAUACUUGUACAUUUUGAUGUGAUCUCUCAAUAAUUAUCUUUUUGUUUUCGUAAUGAUUGGGCAUUUCUGUCUUUGAAUUCUCUGUGCUGGAGCAAGAUCUGAGAACAGAACGGUUGGGCGCGGUUGAAGUUCUUACAGAUGAUCUUGGGAAGCCAUCUAACUGGAAGUUCUUUCCAUCGAUAGUUUUCUGUUUCUAUUGAAAUCCGCUUGUGCUUUGCGGAAACCAGUUUAGAUGAAUAAAGGCACUCUAGAGAAGGAUUACACGGGCGUAGAUCUUCUUUGCUGCUCUGAAGUGUUCAAGUAUUUCAGGUAAAAUCAUUUUGCUUCUCCAACCCUGGUAAGUACUUCUGCUUUUGUACUUUGUAUAUUUACGUUAAUUUAUUUAAUCAGUAGUUAAAAUUGGGUUGACAACACACUUAUGUCCCGUCUUUUUUCACAUACUCAUUCAUGUCAUGUUAUCUUUUUGUAACUUUGAAGCAAUUCAAUGUUGGUCAGAAUUUUCGACUGCAAACAGUUUUUGUAUGGUACUCUUGAUUUUAAUCAAUGGUCUUGUCUUGUAGUACUUGAGUUCAUUUAUGGAAGUUGUGUAUUACUAGUUACUGUCAGAUUGGUUAUCAGUUCAAUGACUUGUCUUCGUUUUCGAGUAGAUUUAGGUUUCUUUUGAAACGGCCCGAGUAUGGUUUGUGUCUAUAUAGUCCUAACUUGUGCAUAUUGUCGAAAUAAUGUCGAUUGCUAUUUUAUUAGUGUUAAUGUGGAUUACAGUCUUCUUUUGUUUCUGGGAAUCGUUCAGACAAAGAUUUGUCUUUGUUAAUGAUGUGUUGAAGGGAUCUCAUUUACUACAGUGGGAAUUCUUGGAAUUUUGUCUCUGCAAUUUAGAAAUACUUUCCCAGUUGUUUUGAGGUAAUUUCUUAAGGCAGGCACAGACACACACACACACACACACACACACACACACACACACACACACACACACACACAUGGACACCUGGACUUAGGGUUUGGGGUAGAAUGUUCUUGAUUCUUCUAGACGUUGCAUAAUUUGGACCAUCUCAGUUGAGAUUCCUUGUAAUACUUGACUUCAUUUUUUUCAAGUCAAUUGAUUUGAUUAGCAGGUCAUCAAUU
Non-coding RNA from Erythranthe guttata (spotted monkey flower), 4618 nucleotides. NCBI's taxonomy places the organism in Eukaryota, Viridiplantae, Streptophyta, Magnoliopsida, Lamiales, Phrymaceae. The record is from RefSeq and is a predicted model, not a curated record.